This 479-nucleotide ribosomal RNA is filed under the name uncultured bacterium. RNAcentral describes it as "bacterial SSU rRNA". It matches the Rfam family "Bacterial small subunit ribosomal RNA", at positions 34 to 509 of the family's 1533-position model. The record is from RNAcentral.
CGCUGGCGGCGUGCCUAACACAUGCAAGUCGAACGAAGCUCCGUGAAGCAAGACUUCGGUCAAGCGGAACGGAUGACUGAGUGGCGGACGGGUGAGUAACGCGUGAGGAACCUGCCUUUCAGUGGGGGACAACAGUUGGAAACGACUGCUAAUACCGCAUGAAGUACGUUGGGGGCAUCCCCGAUGUACCAAAGAUUUAUUGCUGAAAGAUGGCCUCGCGUCUGAUUAGAUAGUUGGUGAGGUAACGGCCCACCAAGUCGACGAUCAGUAGCCGGACUGAGAGGUUGAACGGCCACAUUGGGACUGAGAUACGGCCCAGACUCCUACGGGAGGCAGCAGUGGGGAAUAUUGGGCAAUGGGGGAAACCCUGACCCAGCAACGCCGCGUGAAGGAAGAAGGCUUUCGGGUUGUAAACUUCUUUUACCAGGGACGAAGGACGUGACGGUACCUGGAGAAAAAGCCACGGCUAACUACGUGCC